UAAAAUUAGUGUGUAUGUGUGUGUGCAAAUAAUAAUUUAGAGUAUCAGUUUGUCUAUGUUUGUGUGUUUGUAAUAAAAGAAAAGAGUUUCUGUGUGUGUAUAAAAAGAAGAGUGUAAGGGUAUGUAUGUGUUAGAGAGAUAAAAGAUUGAAAGAAAACAAUUAUUGAUUAUUUUAUCGAUUCGUGGAAGAAAGUGUAGAUGCUUAAAGGUGAAAACAAAGUCAUUCGUUGCGUUGUGUACCUGCGCAUCAGGAGGAUAAUCUCAUAGAUAAGGGAUUCUGUAUGAAAACAUUAAUAGUUCUGCUUUCAAGAAUCUUGCAUCAAAUUUUCUUGUUUUUUCAAAAAGAAAUUUUUAUUUUUUUUGUAAAAUAUUUAUUACAAAGUUUUAAGUAAAAUUAAAUGGGGGCAAGGUGAUGUUGCAAUUCGUUACUUAACCAAAAAAAUGAAGUUGCAAUAUCCGGAAGCAAUGUCUAGCAACAAAUUUAGGAAACCGAUUGCUACAGUAGCUCAAAUUCUCAACAUGUCCAAAGAAGAAACAAGCCAAUUUUCGAAAUUUAUGGGUCAUACUGAAAAAACACAUGCAGAAUUUUAUGAGUUACCAGUUGACAUAUAUCAGACGGCAAAAGUUUCAAAAUUAUUGAUGAUGAUAGAAAAAGGAUCACUGCCUGUAGAGUACAAAGGAAAAUCCUUAACUGAAAUUGAUUUUGAUAAAAAUUUGGAAUAUGCAGAAGAAGGUACCGAAGAUCAUAAUGAUAAACCCUCUGAAUCAAAAGUUAUUAAAAAUACAACUAACAACAUCACCUCAUCCAAUGUUGAUACAUAUACACAAUAGUGAAGAUAUCGACUUAAAUCAUGAUAGUAAUCCAAAUUCAUACACAACGACAGUUCCAAAGAAGCAGAAAAUUAAAAAAUCUGGAUGGACGAAAGAUGAAUUAGAAUCAAUGAAUUCUCACUUUAUGAA
This is an RNA transcript of Leptopilina heterotoma, 960 nucleotides long. RefSeq lists it as uncharacterized. The record is from RefSeq and is a predicted model, not a curated record. Lineage: Eukaryota; Metazoa; Arthropoda; Insecta; Hymenoptera; Figitidae. The transcript is spliced from 6 exons.